AUUCAGAAGUUGGGGAAUGGGGCCUGAGAAUUUGCAUUUCUGAUGUGUUCCCUCGUGUUGCCGAUACCACUGAUCUUAGGAGCCCACUUCGAGAAUCAUCACUGUCAUAGAAUAAAGAAUCCUGUCCAGUUCUGGGCAUCAGAGUUUCCUUGCGUUUAUUUCCUCUUUCUGUCAUAGUCAAAAUCCACUUGAAAAAUGUCCCCCCUGUUCUGGUAGAAUUGCCCUUCACUGGCCCAGGAGAGCAUAGGCAGUCAGAGGGCUGACAGACACCAGGGAUGGUAGGGGCACUGCCUGCCCCACUGAGAGGAUGGGGCGACAUCUUGGAGCAGAACAAAGGACGAAACUCAGACGAGAAAGAAUCAGAGACAGCUGUGAUUACCGAGCCUUUCCCAGCCUGGAUUUUCCUCCACAGGCUUUUUCUUGCCUAAGCUUUUUAUCCCCUUUGUAACUGCUCGUAUAUUUGGGGGGACGGGGGAAGGAGUCACUGUAUUUUCUCUCUGCACUUUUCCUGCUCCCUGCUUUUAUUCUCUGUCAACCACAAGGUCCACAUGAAUGUCUUGGAGAGCCUAGAGCAGCAUACGCAGCUUACGGCAGCCCGAACAAAAAGUUUAACAAACGUAGACAUCUCUCUGGAGGUAGAAUGUGUGGUCUGUAAAAUGUGUGCUCUGUAUCAUGUUACAGCAAAGUCGAAAACCAAGAGCUGUGUUCCAAGUCACUGCCUGGCAGUUGUCAGUAACUAAGCCUCUGCUACCUGUUACACACGGUUCAUGAAGCAGCCUGUAUUUGUAAAUUAGAGGACGUGUCUUUGAAAACAGUAACCCACUAGAAUGAGAAGGAUAGAUAGCCUUGGAUUUAGACUCCUGGAUUAGAAAUCAUCUGUCCCGUGACAUUUCAAAGAGGGAAAAGAACUUGUGGUCUUAUUGAGAAUGUGUAUUUCUACUGCAAACCUUAGGAAAAUGAAACAAAAAUAGGAAACUAUGUUCUAAUUCUAAGAAUGUAAGCUUCUUCAGCCCUUGACGCAGAGAUAUUUUGGACUCGGGAUUCCAUAUAUGGUGUCUGGGCCUGUUUAGUGCCUUAAGCUAUCAGGUAUUUGCCUGUACCAGCCUACCCACAUUACAUGAAAACGGGCCUCCCUCAUUCUUGCAGAAUUCAUGGCUUCUGUUCUGAACCAUUCACCCCAGCUUAUCUCAUACUCAUUCCUAACCGUUCCUCAGUCUGUUCUAAUGGCUGACUCAUUUUUCCUCUUACCGCCUGGCCUCACCCUAGGACCGGGCACUUGAUAUGACUUCUCCAACUUGAACCUUUUUGCUCUGGGCAUCCAUGAAUGAGUGGUGUACUGAGACCAACCCAUUCCCUGGGAUUUUUAUCCAGGCCCCCAUGCGAGGUACCCCGGCCCCGUACACCACAUCCUGGGAGCAGAACUCAGGUUUGAGAGAUCUGCGGCUCCUUGAUAAUUGCUCUCAGAAGGGACAGAAAACAAAUAGGAAGGAAAGAAUCUGAUUGCCCAGUCACUGGGUGCAGAAGAGCCAACGGAAUUUCUCUGUUAUCUAAAGUACAUGACUGUCCUGUCUCUCCUGGACCCACUCUCCCCUACCCCUCAUCCCCUGCUAAUCCAUUCUCAGCAUUUCCACCUAAGCAAUCUUUCCAAGACACAGAUCUGAUCAUGCUACUCCUCUACUUAACAUUUUUCAUUCCCAUCGAUGUAUCUGAUUGUUAUCAUACAUACGAUUCUGAUUUUCCAGAAGGUAAACUCUUCUCAUUAUGAUCUACUAUGUACUGUGCUUUAGAGUGUUUUCACAACUAUUACCUAAUUUUUCAACAAUAAUCCUAUGACUUCGAUGUUAUUUUAUCUCUGUAUUUGAGGAGAAAGUGUAACUUUUAUUUACAGUGAAUGGUACAUAGUAUAUAGUUGAUUAUAUUAAAAAUUAAAUAAGUAUUUGGAUCUUUUUGGCCAAGUGAGUAAAUUAAGUACCCCUAAAGCCAAACUUUCAGUUCCGGGGAAUGAAUUUGUUAAAUCUUAUUCGGAUGCUGGCAAGUCUCAGUUGUUUAGAGCAUGCAAUUACUGAGGUCAGAGUUGGUGGUUCAAUUCCCAUUUGUUUAAGUUAACCUCAUUCAGUUUCAUGGAUAUAGUCUGUAACUUUAGCCUCAGCCAGCUAUUUCACAAUGGCAGGUCCCAAUGGAACGUGGGUAAUAGAAUAUGGAUAAAUCCAUACCAUGACUCCAUCUCUGUUACUUGAAAACUCAAAUAUAAUGGUAACUCCUCAGUGUUAUAUAGAUUUUUGUAUAUGCAGUUAUACAAAGACGCCUUGGCAAGAAUCAUGCAGACAGUAUGAUUUUUCCCAGAUGGUACUUUGAGGUCCCUAAAGGAUGCUCCAUAAAUAGCUCAUCCCAAUAGUAGUUUUCUAAUUAUACAAUUCCUCUCUAAAUACUAGUUCCAUCUCUACUGAUGACUUAGGUAACAAUUAUUAAUGUAGCUUCAGUUAAAUCCUGUAAUAAUUCCACUUAUCAAUUUCUACAUUCUCUCUUGAAUGAAUGAUACAGUAUUGUACAUAUAUAUCAUAUGAGCUCUGUCAUUCACAGAGAUAUGACGAGCAUCAGGCUCCACCUGUGGCAUUAUGUAUUGCCAGCAUGGUAGCACUGAGGAGACCCUGACCUGAAAUUUUUAGAUUUCUCUUUGUUUACUCUGGGUUAAGGCAAGAAUUCAUUCUUAAUAUGCAGAUAUCUUUGAGGAAAGUAAUAAAUUGUUGUCAGUCAUUAGCACCCAGGUAUGAAUUAGUUUAUCAGAUCCCUUCCACUGACAGUUACAAGAAGUGCCUUAAGGAAAGCAUCUGACUGGUGUAUUUUGAUGGGAAGAUAGUAGAGGCAAAGGUUCAUUUUCCUAAAGAACAGACUUAGGUCAGAUCCUGGGGACGCUAUGAAGGCACAGGAUGGGACACAUUCGGGUGAAGUAGGAGUGGUCCCAGAAGACAGAGGCAGAUCUUUACUAGAAGAGAAGCUUCUCACACAUCCCCAUUUGGCUUUAAGCCAGCACUAAUAAAAAUACAUGAGAUGAUAUUGUAUUAACAGCAUCCUAUAAUGAGUAAGAAACCAAGUUCUGACAUCAAAGAGACUUGGGUUCAAAUUAUAGUUCUGCCGCUUUUCAGCUGUGUGGUCUUAAGCUUCCUAAUCAUUUUGAGGCUCGAUUUACUGAUCUUUAAAGAUAAUCAUAGUACCUACCAUACGGAGUUAUCUUGAGAAUUAAAUGGAUAGUUCAUGUAACGCACUCAGCGGAAUGUCUGGCACAUAUUAAGUGGUCAAGAAAUGUUAGCUAUUACCGUAUAGAGUAAAAUUUAAGGUUGCUUCUUCUCAAGUAUAUAUAAUAUGUUCUCAGUUGGAAGGCUGCCUUUUGUGGAGUCGGAUUUAUGCCUCUUCAAAACAAAAACUCUAGAAGAAUGUCUUUGAUGCUGGAAAGAAAUAAACCUUAUUAAAAUAACAUAAGAAAUAAGCCCAAGAAAUACAUGAGGACGGAAGGGUCCCUGUGUUCCAAGAGAGACUGGAAAGCAAUACUUUCAAAAGAUGAGUUCUAAUCAGAUGUGUACAGUUGACAACUGAAUUAGUGCCACGGGAACUCAGAGCAAUACAGAAGAUCAACAGAUGCCACAGAGCUGGAGACAGAAACCCACAUUACUUAUCCUCCUACAAAGUGUGUGGGAUAUCUGGUCAACCUGUAAAAAACAAGCCGUAGUUCCCCUCACAAAAACAGUUGAGAGGAAGAGAAUGAAGGUGCAACUCCUUUCCAAACAUAGGCGUGUGAGGGCGAGACAUCACUGAAGACCAGUUCACAGGUCAUGUUUAUUAUUAUUUAUGUAGACUUUUAAUUGACAGUUCAGAGUAAAUAACAUUUGUGUCUGUGUCCUCCUUGGGCCCGAGGACAUUUUUCUUGGUCAGAAUCUGCUGAUUAGCUCGUGUAAACAAAUCUCAAAUCACCAAGUUACAACUGUUGCUGUUUCAGGACAUAAACAGUGAGUCCUUACCUAUGUGACUAAAAGCAAGCCGAAGCACUAGGUUGGAUGGAAUGUUAAACGUAUGGCUGUUAACUGUCACCUGCAAAAUAACCCCUGACAGCCAUUUCCUGCUUGGCAGCAUAGGGGAGGGGGGGCCGGAGAGUGUGGGUGAUUGACUUGUCAUCCUGACUCGUCAUUGUGACUUGAAUAAUCCCUUCUGCCUGUCUGUCCUGAAAGCAGCAUUUUCUCUAAUUAUGAGAAACACAGUAGCAGUAACUGGUUCUAAGGAAAAAGGUCAUGAUGUAGUCUCGUUGAAUUCAAGAAAUGCAAAUUUUCAAGGCAAUGGAAUAACAGUUAACAUUUGUAUAUGAUAGCUUCCAGGAUAUAUAUAAAGCACGUUUUCAUAACAUGACUUUAUUUAAUUCCUGCAACAGAUAAGUGAGGUGAGUCGUAGCUAUUUUUGCUUCUACUUUGAAGAUAAUGAGUUUCCAGGGCCAAAAGACUUGCCCCAGAUCUCACAGCUAAGUGAUGAACAUUCCACCAUUGACUCCAAAAUCGAGGCUCUUUUUUUUCUAUCCUUUUCUCUUUUUUUUUUUUUUUGCGGUAACGGGGUGGGGUGGUGGGAGGCAUGCCCGCAGCAUGAGGAAUUUCCUGGGCCAGGGAUUAAACUCACGCCGCAGAAGUGAAUGCCAGAUCCUUCACCCACUGAGCCACCAGGGAACUCCCCAUCCCAUCUAAUCUUGACUAACAUUGUUACUAUCUGCCACGGUUCCCGGUCUGUAAGUCUUGUGCCUGCCCUCUCUUUCAAACCCUUUCUUCUACUAGUCAUGAGACGCUAUUUAUUUUACCUCCAUGGUGUUUCUCAAAUCUGUCUACUGUUAAAGUUCUUAUCCCCACUUCCAUGGCCCUAGCCCAAGCCACUAGUGUUUUUUAUCUGGAUUAUAGCAGUAGUCUCCUAACUGGUUUGCUCGUGACCUUAGGCUCUGUCCUACAUGUUGCUGCUAAAGUGGGCUAUUUAAAAGUGUAAAUCUGAACGUGACACUCGCUUGCUUGAAACCCAUCAGUGGCUCCUCAGCACCUUCGGAAUGAAAUCCUAAUUCCUUAGCUUGGUCCUGCCUCAUCCCUUUCAUCCUCUCCUCUUUACACACCCUAAGCUUUGGCCAGAACUAGCUCUCUUCUCCUCCUGGAACCACUCAUGACCUUUCUCGUUUCUGUGUUUUGCAUUCUAUGGGGAAAAACUUUCUGUCUCCUGUUGUCUACCUUAUCGUGUAGGAGCAGUCUACAACAAAUGUCUUCAGUGAAAAGUCUAACCCGGACGUAGUCCUCCCAUUCAUCUUCAUACAAACCCCUGUUAUGGCAUUUAUCACAUUUCAUUUUAAUUAUUGAUUUACAUGUUCAUCUGAUCCACUAGAUUCUGAGACAAGGGCCAAAGACUUGUCCUGUGAAACAUAUACCCCGCUUUUUUGCCUUCCACAAUGUUUGGAACAUAGUAGGAAGGAAAAAAAAAGGUUUUUUACAUUGAAACUCAUAAGCAGUGACUAAUUGUCUACCAUAUGCCCAACUCUGUGACACGUGAGAAGGUACUAGGUCCAAGUCUUGCUGAAAAGUGGAGAGUUACACAAUUCAUUUUGCCAAUAGCAGUUUAGAAGAAGAUUUGAAACUAGGGAGGCCCCUCUUUCCUUUAGAAAUGAUUACUUAUGAAGGGCUAGGGGUGAUUGAAUAUUUGCCAUCUGGCCACUGUCUCGGUUCUCAUUGUAAAUCAGAUUUAAGAAACUCAAGUCCUUUUAAAGGUGAAGUUGUCGUAUGUUAUUUAGGGAGAAGUACCAUCUCCCCCCCGCCCCGCCCUGAGAUCGACUUAAGGAAAGUACUUGGAAACUGCAACGAAAUUCCUCCAAGUGUUAAGAGGUAGAAUGCUACCUGUCUGGGAUGUGAUCCGGUUGGAAUACCUUCUCAAAGGGACUUCAUAUCCAUUAUUUUCAUCAAGGAGCAGAAAGCACACUUCCUUUUCAUAUAAUCAGUCAAAGUUUGAAUACAUCAGGGUGGGCAUUUGGUGCUACCCAUUGGACCCCCUUUCCUAGGUUAACAGCACCAAGCCUCCACUUGCACUCAAACAUGAUGUGAUCCCAGUGGUUUUUGGUUUCUGGCUGCACCCUCUGUACUCCUAUGGCACAAGCUGUAGAAAUGUUGCCCGCCACUAUCAGUUAGCCAACUGAAAAGCUACAUGCCUUCUUCCCUCAAAAGUGAUUUCGAACAGCCCCCAACCACCACGACACAGAUUUGGAGAUAGUUGUUUGCACUGGCAAAUGUGGGGCCUCGAGUAUAUUCCCCGGAAAGUUGAAGUGAAUCAGCACUGUCUUUAAAAUGCAGAUGUGCGUUGGGGAGCUCUAAAUGAGAGAUGUCAUUCAAGAGAAUUACAUCAGCAAACCUUUAGCGAGUAUUGGCUAUAUCGAAAGCUCUGUGCUUGUUGCCGUGCGGGACAUGUGGAAGCAUAAACCAUGGUCCUUGCUCUUAAGCCGUUCCGUUAGGUGGUAUAGAGGGACCCCUUAACUAGAUCAGGGAUGGGAGGAAGAGACGAAGUUGACCCUUAGUUGGUAUGUUAUAAAGCUAUUAAUUGAGGCACUUAAAGAAAACUAACAGCAGUAAAGCUAUGACAAGAAAAUGCAGGCGAGGGGACAGAGAUUGGCUGAAGAAUUAAGAAAAGGAUGAUUCAAAGCCAAGGAUCCUAGAUGCAUGGUGGUGGUUAAUGCCAGGCAGAGCCUCCUAAGGCAGAAAAGUACAUAGGACAGUUCAUGGAGAGAGCAAGGCCUGUGUUGUGGGCUGGAACAGGAGGUAAAGAGAAGCCAAAUUCAUAGAGCUGAGUAGUCAGAGUGUGCCAGUUGUGUCGGUGAUGCAGGUGUAGACCGCAUACCUAGAAAUGGGUUCUACCAGAAGCAAAUGAGCUCCAUGUAAGAUUCAAACAACACAGAACCUUUUGCCUCCAGAAACCAGAAUGAGAACCAAAGGUCACUGCCCCACCCUGGACUAGAUGGUGGAAGUAAAGUGAAUCCACCCGAAUCCCGUCACUGGAAGAAAAGGCUUUUGGGUUAAAAACGAAUGCCAGGAGAUGGAUCUUGAAUAGCAUCCACCCAUGGCUUAUACUUAUGCCAAGUGAGCCAUGUGAACUGGACCUGGAGAUACCUUACUGGCGUAUAUAUAGUAUGGAGCUUGAGUUAUAAGUCACUUGUGCUGGUCCUCAGUGCGCAAGGUGGAAGGAGAGGAAUGCUGCCGGAAAACCUGGACAGCCAGCUGAAAAUGGGGGACUUACAACUCUGAGUCAAGAAAUCUCCAGCCCCAUCGCACAUGGCAUCUGAAGAACCUGAGAUAUGUCAAAGUGGAGAAACCAUGCCUGAGGGUCUAAAAUUCCCAUUAGAUUCUAUCUUUCAUGGCCUCGAGGAAACAGACAUUUUAAUUGAACUAAAAUAUUGUUACCUGGGAGGGAUAACCCUUCAUCUGAUUGCUUAGUUUUGUCUCCAUUCUUUCGACAAACAUGGAGGGCCUGACCCAGUGCUCAGGGGUACAGAUAUGCAUAAGACUAAAGCCCUCCCUUCAGGAAGCUCACAGGUUAGCUGUGCUUUGGGCCUUCUGUGAGGCUGGGCUAGGAAAAUUCGUCUAAUGAAGAGGUUAGGUGGGAUGAGGGUGCGUGAUGGGGGAGAGAAUAUUCGCAUGCAGCUAGGAGUAGUUCAGGGUCUGGGGCUCUGGGGGGGUUGAAAAUCUAAGCCUCUGAGGCGGAAGGAAGAGGAUCAUAGCAAAAGAAAGGCUAGAAUAGGAGGAUGGGAAAUUCAGUGGCCUGGAAGACAGAUAACAAAUAAGGAAGAGAGAGGAGCCAAAACCAAGAACUAGAAGAAGCUAAGUUGUCCGAAUCUGAGUUUGGUGAUGGAUGGAAUGUCUGUGGUUUCAAUGUAACGCCUCUCAUGUGUGUGCGUGUGAGAGACAGACAGACCGAGAGACAGGGAAGGGCACACAGAGAACUUGAGAUUCCGUCCGCCCUUUUUCACCAUCGGUACCAGAGUGGAGGCUGUAAGCACUGAAACAAAAGCAACUGGACUUUGAAAAAAGAGGAAGUGAGGAAAGUUUGUUUGCGAGCGCUGGUGGCAGGAAAUCCUGUGACUAACCUUAUUUCACACAUCUCAGAUUAUUCAAAGGGAUCUGAACUUUCUUAAGACCAGCAACUUAAAAUGGAAGGGGCUGUCUCAGAGCCAUUGAGGGCUGAGCAGUGCUCACCCACCCCCCGCCCCUUGCUAAAUAAACGAAUCCAAUUCGGGUCGCCCUUGACUGUGCGGAAGAGCCGCUUCAGGGAAGAUGCCACACGGCCCCUCAGCAUGUCCAGUGCAUAGAGUGAGGCAGCAUUAACAAAUGGACUUCAACUCUCUUGGG
RNAcentral lists this long non-coding RNA (8396 nucleotides) under Sus scrofa (pig). RNAcentral describes it as "lncRNA (ENSSSCG00000057677.1)". The record is from RNAcentral. Lineage: Eukaryota; Metazoa; Chordata; Mammalia; Artiodactyla; Suidae.